GUAGGUGGCAAGCGUUGUCCGGAAUUAUUGGGCGUAAAGCGCGCGCGGGCGGUCCUUUAAGUCUGAUGUGAAAGCCCACGGCUCAACCGUGGAGGGUCAUUGGAAACUGGGGGACUUGAGUACAGAAGAGGAAAGCGGAAUUCCAAGUGUAGCGGUGAAAUGCGUAGAGAUUUGGAGGAACACCAGUGGCGAAGGCGGCUUUCUGGUCUGUAACUGACGCUGAGGCGCGAAAGCGUGGGGAGCAAACAGGAUUAGAUACCCUGGUAGUCCACGCCGUAAACGAUGAGUGCUAAGUGUUAGGGGGUUUCCCGCCCCCCUUAGUGCUGCAGCUAACGCAUUAAGCACUCCGCCUGGGGAGUACGGCCGCAAGGCUG
Molecule: ribosomal RNA, 374 nt
Filed under: uncultured organism
Description: partial 16S ribosomal RNA
Rfam family: Bacterial small subunit ribosomal RNA
Source: RNAcentral